UACGUAGGGUGCGAGCGUUAAUCGGAAUUACUGGGCGUAAAGUGUGCGCAGGCGGCCGAGCAAGUCGAGUGUGAAAGCCCCGAGCUUAGCUUGGGAAUUGCGCUCGAAACUACUUGGCUGGAGUGUGGCAGAGGAAGGUGGAAUUCCACGUGUAGCGGUGAAAUGCGUAGAGAUGUGGAGGAACACCAAUGGCGAAGGCAGCCUUCUGGGCCAACACUGACGCUCAUGCACGAAGGCGUGGGGAGCAAACAGG
RNAcentral lists this ribosomal RNA (253 nucleotides) under uncultured bacterium. RNAcentral describes it as "partial 16S ribosomal RNA". It matches the Rfam family "Bacterial small subunit ribosomal RNA", at positions 524 to 776 of the family's 1533-position model. The record is from RNAcentral.